AGUGAACGCUGGCGGCGUGCUUAACACAUGCAAGUCGAACGAGAACGGGAUAUAGCUUGCUAUAUUUGUCAGCUAAGUGGCGCACGGGUGAGUAAUGUAUAGAUAACCUGCCCUCUAGAAAGCAAUAACAGUUGGAAACGACUGCUAAUGCCCUAUAUGCCUUUAAUACAUAAGGAUGCAAGGGAAACGCUUUAGUGCUAGAGGAUGGGUCUGUAUGGUAUCAGCUUGUUGGUGAGGUAAUGGCUCACCAAGGCUAUGACGCCUAACUGGUUUGAGAGGAUGAUCAGUCACACUGGAACUGAGACACGGUCCAGACUCCUACGGGAGGCAGCAGUGGGGAAUAUUGCACAAUGGACGAAAGUCUGAUGCAGCAACGCCGCGUGGAGGAUGACACAUUUCGGUGCGUAAACUCCUUUUAUAUAGGAAGAUAAUGACGGUACUAUAUGAAUAAGCACCGGCUAACUCCGUGCCAGCAGCCGCGGUAA
This 485-nucleotide ribosomal RNA is filed under the name uncultured bacterium. Its description in RNAcentral is "partial 16S ribosomal RNA". It matches the Rfam family "Bacterial small subunit ribosomal RNA", at positions 29 to 523 of the family's 1533-position model. The record is from RNAcentral.